Molecule: non-coding RNA, 113 nt
Organism: Acanthosepion pharaonis
Lineage: Eukaryota; Metazoa; Mollusca; Cephalopoda; Sepiida; Sepiidae
Source: the annotation of a GenBank genome assembly
UUCGGCCACAUCACGUUGUAACACCAGUUCCCGUACAAUCAUUGAAGUUAAGCAACGUUGAGCCUGGUCGCUAUCUAGAUGGGUAACCACCUGGGAAUGCCAGGUUUUGUAAG